Molecule: ribosomal RNA, 252 nt
Filed under: uncultured bacterium
Lineage: Bacteria
Description: partial 16S ribosomal RNA
Rfam family: Bacterial small subunit ribosomal RNA
Source: RNAcentral
UACAGAGGGUGCGAGCGUUAUCGGAAUUACUGGGCGUAAAGCGCGCGUAGGCGGCUUUGCAAGUCGAGUGUGAAAUCCCCAGGCUUAACCUGGGAACUGCAUUCGAGACUGCAUAGCUAGAGUAUGGGAGAGGGAAGUGGAAUUUCAGGUGUAGCGGUGAAAUGCGUAGAUAUCUGAAGGAACAUCAGUGGCGAAAGCGACUUCCUGGACCAAUACUGACGCUCAUGUGCGAAAGCGUGGGGAGCAAACAGG